UAACCUGCCCAAGAGAUCGGGAUAACACCUGGAAACAGAUGCUAAUACCGGAUAACAACAGAUGAUGCCUAUCAACUGUUUAAAAGAUGGUUCUGCUAUCACUCUUGGAUGGACCUGCGGUGCAUUAGCUAGUUGGUAGGGUAACGGCUACCAAGGCGAUGAUGCAUAGCCGAGUUGAGAGACUGAUCGGCCACAUUGGGACUGAGACACGGCCCAAACUACUACGGGAGGCAGCAGGC
RNAcentral lists this ribosomal RNA (239 nucleotides) under uncultured Lactobacillus sp. RNAcentral describes it as "partial 16S ribosomal RNA". It matches the Rfam family "Bacterial small subunit ribosomal RNA", at positions 122 to 354 of the family's 1533-position model. Lineage: Bacteria; Bacillati; Bacillota; Bacilli; Lactobacillales; Lactobacillaceae. The record is from RNAcentral.